GAUGAACGCUGGCGGCGUGCCUAAUACAUGCAAGUCGAGCGAACGGACGAGAAGCUUGCUUCUCUGAUGUUAGCGGCGGACGGGUGAGUAACACGUGUAUACCCUACCUAUAAGACUGGGAUAAUUUCGGGAAACCGGAGCUAAUACCGGAUGAUAUCUUGAACCGCAUGGUUCAAAAGUGAAAGACGGUCUUGCUGUCACUUAUAGAUGGAUCCGCGCUGCAUUAGCUAGUUGGUAAGUUAACGGCUUACCAAGGCAACGGUGCAUAGCCGACCUGAGAGGGGGAUCGGCCACUGUGAAACUGACAGACGACCCAGAGACUUAGGGAAGGCACAGGUAGGGACGCUACGGAAAUGGGCGAAAGCUUGAAGAAGCAACGCAGCGCGAGUGAAGAAGGGCUGCGGAUCGUAAAACUCUGUUAUUGGGGAAGAACAUAUGUGUAAGUAACGGUGCGUAUGUGGAGGGUACGUAUAAAGAAGGCCAGGCUAAACUCGGG
Molecule: ribosomal RNA, 496 nt
Filed under: uncultured bacterium
Lineage: Bacteria
Description: partial 16S ribosomal RNA
Rfam family: Bacterial small subunit ribosomal RNA
Source: RNAcentral